Molecule: ribosomal RNA, 1707 nt
Filed under: Cacarulla sp. Cacaru
Lineage: Eukaryota; Metazoa; Arthropoda; Insecta; Neuroptera; Chrysopidae
Description: SSU rRNA
Rfam family: Eukaryotic small subunit ribosomal RNA
Source: RNAcentral
GUGCUGAAGGCUCCAUACAAGGACGGCAGCAGGAGUGCAAAUUACCCACUCCCGGCACGGGGAGGUAGUGAAGAAAAAUACCGAUACGUUACUCAUCCGCGGUCCCGUAAUCGGAAUGAGUACACUUCAUAUCCUUUAACGAGGAUCCAUUGGAGGGUCAAGUGCGUGCCAGCAGCCGCGGUCAUUCCAGCUCCAAUAGCGUAUAUUAAAGUUGUUGCGGUAAAAAGCUCGUAGUUGAAUCUGUGUCCUACACUGUUGGCUCACCGCUCGCGGUGUUUAACUAGCAUGUUAUGUGGGACGUCCUACCGGUGGGUGGUACAAAUUAUAUAUAAAGUAUAUUUUAGUGUUAUUAUUUAUUUAAUGCAUUAUAUAUAUAUUUUUAUUAUGUAAUUUGUCGUAAGUGUUUAACCGUUUAGAGCGGUGGCAGCCCCCAAUUGCAAUCCCGUCGCGGUGCUCUUAAUUGAGUGUCGAGGUGGGCCGGUACGUUUACUUUGAACAAAUUAGAGUGCUUAAGGCAGGCUCAAAUUUUGCCUGAAUAUUGUGUGCAUGGAAUAAUGGAAUAGGACCUCGGUUCUAUUUUGUUGGUUUUCGGAACUCCGAGGUAAUGAUUAAUACGGACAGAUGGGGGCAUUCGUAUUGCGACGUUAGAGGUGAAAUUCUUGGAUCGUCGCAAGACGGACAGAAGCGAAAGCAUUUGCCAAAAAUGUUUUGAUUGAUCAAGAACGAAAGUUAGAGGUUCGAAGGCGAUCAGAUACCGCCCUAGUUCUAACCAUAAACGAUGCCAGCUAGCGAUCCGCCGAAGUUCCUCCGAUGACUCGGCGGGCAGCUUCCGGGAAACCAAAGCUUUUGGGUUCCGGGGGAAGUAUGGUUGCAAAGCUGAAACUUAAARGAAUUGACGGAAGGGCACCACCAGGAGUGGRGCCUGCGGCUUAAUUUGACUCAACACGGGAAACCUCACCAGGCCCGGACACCGGAAGGAUUGACAGAUUGAGAGCUCUUUCUUGAUUCGGUGGGUGGUGGUGCAUGGCCGUUCUUAGUUGGUGGAGCGAUUUGUCUGGUUAAUUCCGAUAACGAACGAGACUCUAGCCUGCUAAAUAGACGUACUUUACCGGCAUCUCAAGGCCCAUCGGCUGUUUGUUUCUCGUUUCAUUCAUUUUCAUAUGUGUUAUGUAUUGUAUUUAUAUAUGCAUAUAUUUUUGAGAUUUUACGAUCAAGAUUAUAUUUUGUAUAUAUUGUACUUUAUGUUGCAUGUGUUAUGGUGUACGGGUACGCAGUUUUUUGAUGUGGUUUUUACUGCCGGCGUACAAAUAAUUCUUCUUAGAGGGACAGGCGGCAUUCUAGCCGCACGAGAUUGAGCAAUAACAGGUCUGUGAUGCCCUUAGAUGUUCUGGGCCGCACGCGCGCUACACUGAAGGAAUCAGCGUGUCCUCCCAGGCCGAAAGGUCCGGGUAACCCGCUGAACCUCCUUCGUGCUAGGGAUUGGGGCUUGCAAUUGUUCCCCAUGAACGAGGAAUUCCCAGUAAGCGCGAGUCAUAAGCUCGCGUUGAUUACGUCCCUGCCCUUUGUACACACCGCCCGUCGCUACUACCGAUUGAAUGAUUUAGUGAGGUCUUCGGACUGGUACGCGGCAAUAUUUCUGAUAUUGCCGAUGUUGCUGGGAAGAUGACCAAACUUGAUCAUUUAGAGGAAGUAAAAGUCGUAACAAGG